UACGGAGGGUGCGAGCGUUAAUCGGAAUUACUGGGCGUAAAGGGUGCGUAGGUGGUUAAUUAAGUUAGAUGUAAAAACCCUGGGCUUAACCUGGGACUGAGAUUUAAUACUGGUUAACUUGAGUAUGGGAGAGGGUAGUGGAAUUUCCGGUGUAGCGGUGAAAUGCGUAGAGAUCGGAAGGAACACCAGUGGCGAAGGCGGCUACCUGGCCUAAUACUGACACUGAGGCGCGAAAGCGUGGGGAGCAAACAGG
Molecule: ribosomal RNA, 253 nt
Filed under: uncultured bacterium
Lineage: Bacteria
Description: partial 16S ribosomal RNA
Rfam family: Bacterial small subunit ribosomal RNA
Source: RNAcentral